UUGUCCGAAUACAUUUUGCUCCCAAACAUCGUCCUACAAGAAGGGCUAUACUGAAACGAAACAGAGAUGAUUGAAGUCUGAUUUAUAGACUAUACAAGCCCUGAAAGCAAGAACGGGGUUCACGGCAUCUUGAUACCCCCAUAUGGGGACGUUUUGGCGAUUUUAUUUAUAAGAAAGGGAUUUUACACCGGAGAGGCUUUUAAAUCUACUAACAGACUGGACCAGCUUUCUCAUCCCCACUGGCUGAUUAAUGAUUCCUCCAUGCCAACCCGGUUCUCAGAGACACCAAGUCCAGUGCCCUUGAUCCUUAAGAAGUGGCCUCCAGUGCUUAGAAUUCCAAGCAUUUGGUCCUUUGGAGAUGAGAAACCAUGGGAAGGCAGGGGCUUAUUCACCCCUGUAUCCAAAAAGUUGAGGAUGGUGCCAGGGACACAGAUGUUACCAGGGACUCCAAAAAUACUGAAUGAAAGGACAGUGGAGGUGCUUUCCUGUGGGAUCUUCCAACCUCUUCCCGCCUUCAGAGGUCAGCGAAGCAGGGUAUCACCGAAGUCCCACCUGAUGUCACUGGAACUAGUGCUCCAUGUCUUC
This 585-nucleotide long non-coding RNA is filed under the name Macaca mulatta (Rhesus monkey). RNAcentral's name for it is "lncRNA (ENSMMUG00000040707.2)". The record is from RNAcentral. Lineage: Eukaryota; Metazoa; Chordata; Mammalia; Primates; Cercopithecidae.